GCUCAAACGGGGUUGGUCAUUGGAAGCUGGGGAACUUGAGUGCAAAAGAGGAGAGUGGAAUUCCACGUGUAACGGUGAAAUGCAUAUAGAUGUGCAGGAACACCAGUGGCGAACGCGACUCUCUGGUCUGUAACUGACGCUGAGGCGCGAAAGCGUGGGGAGCAAACAAGAUUAUAUACCCUGGUACCCCACACCGUAAACGAUGAGUGCUAAGUGUUACAGGGUUUCCCCCCUUUAGUGCUGCAGCAAACGCAUUAAGCACUCCGCCUGGGGAGAACGGUCGCAAGACUGAAACUCAAAGGAAUUGACGGCGGCCCGCCCAAUCGGUGGAUCAUGUGGUUUAAUUCAAAGCAACGCGAACAACCUUACCAGGUCUUGACAUCCUCUGACAAUUCUACUUCUAGGGCUUCCCCUUCGGGGGCAGAGUGUCUGGUGGUGCAUGGUUGUCGUCAUCUCGUGUCGUGAGAUGUUGGGUUAACUCCCGCUACGAGCUCAACCCUUGAUCUUAGUUGUCUCAUUCACUUGGGCACUCUAACGUGACUGACGGUGAAAACCGGAGGAAGUGGCAUGACUUCCAUUCGUCAUGCCCCUUAUGACCUGGGCUACACAAGUGCUACGAUGCGCGAAGCUAAG
RNAcentral lists this ribosomal RNA (633 nucleotides) under uncultured bacterium. RNAcentral describes it as "bacterial SSU rRNA". It matches the Rfam family "Bacterial small subunit ribosomal RNA", at positions 607 to 1244 of the family's 1533-position model. The record is from RNAcentral.